Molecule: long non-coding RNA, 366 nt
Organism: Physella acuta
Lineage: Eukaryota; Metazoa; Mollusca; Gastropoda; Physidae
Source: RefSeq, a predicted model, not a curated record
AUUAGAUCACACUGAAGGAGGUCGGUCGUGAUUACAGUAAGGAAAACAGUUGACAAGAUGAAAUUAUCUACAAGCUUAUUUCUGAGUUUGGUAGUCGCUUUUACCAUCGGGUCUGAAGCUUUAUAUGUAUCCAACACUGAUUCCUACCCGACCCUCAAUACAAUGAUGUCAAAUUUUUUUUUAUCCUCGGCGGCCAUCGACCCUGGGGCAUUCAGGGCACCUGCAAACCAGCCCUAGAAUCUUGUGGUGGUAAAUACGGAACAUGCUGCAAACCAAAUCUAAGAUGCAUAGCAAACUAUUGUCAGCGUUGAAUUUUAGAAUGAAUUGAAGCUUUGCCGUUCCGAUAAAACAGUGAUUAAGCGGCUU